This 460-nucleotide ribosomal RNA is filed under the name uncultured bacterium. RNAcentral describes it as "bacterial SSU rRNA". It matches the Rfam family "Bacterial small subunit ribosomal RNA", at positions 29 to 502 of the family's 1533-position model. The record is from RNAcentral.
AACGAACGCUAGCGGGAUGCCUCAAACAUGCAAGUCGAACGAGAAAGUACCUUCGGGUGCGAGUAAAGUGGCGCACGGGUGAGUAACACGUAACUAACGUACCUUAUCGCUGGGGAUAACUUCGGGAAACCGAAGCUAAUACCGAAUAGGCCGCACGGAACUCCGGUUCUGUGUGGUAAAGGCGCAAGCCGCGAUAAGAUCGGGUUGCGGCCCAUUAGCUUGUUGGUAGGGUAACGGCCUACCAAGGCAACGAUGGGUAGCUGGUCUGAGAGGAUGAUCAGUCACACUGGAACUGGAACACGGUCCAGACUCCCACGGGAGGCAGCAGUUGGGAAUAUUGCACAAUGGGCGAAAGCCUGAUGCAGCAAUCCCGCGUGAAGGACGAAGGUCUUCGGAUCGUAAACUUCUUUCAGCAGGGAAGAAGAUCUGACGGUACCUGCAGAAGAAGCACCGGCUAACU